Transfer RNA from Metarhizium majus ARSEF 297, 74 nucleotides. It matches the Rfam family "tRNA". Rfam says of the family: Transfer RNA (tRNA) molecules are approximately 80 nucleotides in length. Their secondary structure includes four short double-helical elements and three loops (D, anti-codon, and T loops). NCBI's taxonomy places the organism in Eukaryota, Fungi, Ascomycota, Sordariomycetes, Hypocreales, Clavicipitaceae. The record is from Rfam.
UCCUCCGUGGCGCAAUUGGCUAGCGCGUCUGACUGUUAAUCAGGAGGUUGAAAGUUCGAGCCUUUCCGGGGGAG